UGGGGAAUAUUGCACAAUGGGGGAAACCCUGAUGCAGCGACGCCGCGUGAACGAAGAAGGUAUUCGUAUCGUAAAGUUCUGUCCUAUGGGAAGAUAAUGACAGUACCAUAGAAGAAAGCUCCGGCUAAAUACGUGCCAGCAGCCGCGGUAAUACGUAUGGAGCGAGCGUUGUCCGGAAUUAUUGGGCGUAAAGGGUACGCAGGCGGUUUAAUAAGUCGAAUGUUAAAGAUCGGGGCUCAACCCCGCAAAGCAUUGGAUACUGAUAAACUUGAGUAGUGGAGAGGAAAGUAGAAUUCCUAGUGUAGUGGUGAAAUACGUAGAUAUUAGGAGGAAUACCAGUAGCGAAGGCGACUUUCUGGACACAAACUGACGCUGAGGUACGAAAGCGUGGGGAGCAAACAGG
Molecule: ribosomal RNA, 403 nt
Filed under: bacterium
Lineage: Bacteria
Description: partial 16S ribosomal RNA
Rfam family: Bacterial small subunit ribosomal RNA
Source: RNAcentral